UGAGGGAAUAUUGGGUCAAUGGACGCAAGUCUGAACCAGCCAAGUAGCGUGCAGGAUGACGGCCCUAUGGGUUGUAAACUGCUUUUAUGCGGGGAUAAAGUUUGGGACGUGUCCCAUUUUGUAGGUACCGCAUGAAUAAGGACCGGCUAAUUCCGUGCCAGCAGCCGCGGUAAUACGGAAGGUCCGGGCGUUAUCCGGAUUUAUUGGGUUUAAAGGGAGCGUAGGCCGUCUUAUAAGCGUGUUGUGAAAUGUCGGGGCUCAACCUGGGCAUUGCAGCGCGAACUGUGAGACUUGAGUGCGCAGGAAGUAGGCGGAAUUCGUCGUGUAGCGGUGAAAUGCUUAGAUAUCACGAAGAACUCCGAUUGCGAAGGCAGCUCACUGGAGCGC
This 387-nucleotide ribosomal RNA is filed under the name uncultured Prevotella sp. RNAcentral describes it as "bacterial SSU rRNA". It matches the Rfam family "Bacterial small subunit ribosomal RNA", at positions 354 to 737 of the family's 1533-position model. The record is from RNAcentral. Lineage: Bacteria; Pseudomonadati; Bacteroidota; Bacteroidia; Bacteroidales; Prevotellaceae.